GACGAACGCUGGCGGCGUGCCUAAUACAUGCAAGUAGAACGCUGAAGGAGGAGCUUGCUUCUCCGGAUGAGUUGCGAACGGGUGAGUAACGCGUAGGUAACCUGCCUGGUAGCGGGGGAUAACUAUUGGAAACGAUAGCUAAUACCGCAUAACAGUAGAUGUUGCAUGACAUUUGCUUAAAAGGUGCAAUUGCAUCACUACCAGAUGGACCUGCGUUGUAUUAGCUAGUUGGUGAGGUAACGGCUCACCAAGGCUACGAUACAUAGCCGACCUGAGAGGGGGAUCGGCCACACUGGGACUGAGACACGGCCCAGACUCCUACGGGAGGCAGCAGUAGGGAAUCUUCGGCAAUGGACGGAAGUCUGACCGAGCAACGCCGCGUGAGUGAAGAAGGUUUUCGGAUCGUAAAGCUCUGUUGUAAGAGAAGAACGAGUGUGAGAGUGGAAAGUUCACACUGUGACGGUAUCUUACCAGAAAGGGACGGCUAACUACGUG
This 495-nucleotide ribosomal RNA is filed under the name uncultured bacterium. Its description in RNAcentral is "partial 16S ribosomal RNA". It matches the Rfam family "Bacterial small subunit ribosomal RNA", at positions 28 to 507 of the family's 1533-position model. The record is from RNAcentral.